Molecule: transfer RNA, 65 nt
Filed under: Suillia sp. HeleYD1
Lineage: Eukaryota; Metazoa; Arthropoda; Insecta; Diptera; Heleomyzidae
Description: tRNA-Leu
Source: RNAcentral
ACUAUUUUGGCAGAUUAGUGCAAUAAAUUUAGAAUUUAUUUAUAUGGUUUACCCCAUAAAUAGUA